Molecule: ribosomal RNA, 354 nt
Filed under: uncultured bacterium
Lineage: Bacteria
Description: bacterial SSU rRNA
Rfam family: Bacterial small subunit ribosomal RNA
Source: RNAcentral
AGAGUUUGAUCCUGGCUCAGAUUGAACGCUGGCGGCAUGCCUUACACAUGCAAGUCGAACGGCAGCACGGACUUCGGUCUGGUGGCGAGUGGCGAACGGGUGAGUAAUAUAUCGGAACGUACCCUGGAGUGGGGGAUAACGCAGCGAAAGUUACGCUAAUACCGCAUACGAUCUACGGAUGAAAGUGGGGGCUCGCAAGACCUCAUGCUCGUGGAGCGGCCGAUAUCUGAUUAGCUAGUUGGUAGGGUAAAAGCCUACCAAGGCUUCGAUCAGUAGCUGGUCUGAGAGGACGACCAGCCACACCCUUCUGAGACACGGCCCAGACUCCUACGGGAGGCAGCAGUGGGGAAUUUU